Long non-coding RNA from Pipistrellus kuhlii (Kuhl's pipistrelle), 488 nucleotides. RefSeq lists it as uncharacterized. The transcript has 2 exons. Lineage: Eukaryota; Metazoa; Chordata; Mammalia; Chiroptera; Vespertilionidae. The record is from RefSeq and is a predicted model, not a curated record.
GAAACCAAAAAACUAGAUCUGCCAUAGAGACCCCCACCAGGGAUUUGAAAACCACGUGUCCUUUGUUUUUACAUGUUAAAACGAGAAUCCUCAUCUGACAGAGGAGAAUAAUGGAGGCAAUUUUGAAAUAAUUUUGCAAUCUCUGAAGGUACAUUGCUUGAUCUCAGCCGAGGUUAUAAGACAGGAAUUUCCCAGUUACCUCACCACUACCCACAGAGGCGUCUGUCAGGAAGUGACUGGCCGGGAGGGUAUACACCAGUGGCAGAUCCAAGAGCCUCCGGUAUUAAGAAGUCUGCAUUAUGGGAAAUUUCCCUGCUCUAAAUCUCAACAGUGAGCAUCCAGGGGCAGAAAAGGAGCCAGGUUGAUUUUCUUUUUUCCAUUCUUAAUUCUGGAGAAAAAAAUAACUGGCGUGUGGGACAAGGCUGAAAAAGGCGGAAACUUGCAGAAAAUCAAAAGAGACACUUUCCCCUUUUACAAAUUCUGCUUAG